RNAcentral lists this ribosomal RNA (253 nucleotides) under uncultured bacterium. Its description in RNAcentral is "partial 16S ribosomal RNA". It matches the Rfam family "Bacterial small subunit ribosomal RNA", at positions 524 to 776 of the family's 1533-position model. The record is from RNAcentral.
UACAGAGGUCCCAAGCGUUGUUCGGAUUCACUGGGCGUAAAGGGUGCGUAGGUGGCCUGGAAAGUUUGAUGUGAAAGCUCGGAGCUUAACUCCGAAACUGCAUUCGAUACUGCCGUGCUUGAGGACUGGAGAGGAGACUGGAAUUUACGGUGUAGCGGUGAAAUGCGUAGAUAUCGUAAGGAAGACCAGUGGCGAAGGCGGGCCUCUGGACAGUUCCUGACGCUGAGGCACGAAGGCCAGGGGAGCAAACGGG